UUAAGUUAUUAAGGGCGCACGGUGGAUGCCUUGGCACUAGAAGCCGAUGAAGGACGUUACUAACGACGAUAUGCUUUGGGGAGCUGUAAGUAAGCUUUGAUCCAGAGAUUUCCGAAUGGGGAAACCCAGCAUGAGUUAUGUCAUGUUAUCGAUAUGUGAAUACAUAGCAUAUCAGAAGGCACACCCGGAGAACUGAAACAUCUUAGUACCCGGAGGAAGAGAAAGAAAAUUCGAUUCCCUUAGUAGCGGCGAGCGAAACGGGAAGAGCCCAAACCAACAAGCUUGCUUGUUGGGGUUGUAGGACACUCUAUACGGAGUUACAAAGGACGACAUUAGACGAAUCAUCUGGAAAGAUGAAUCAAAGAAGGUAAUAAUCCUGUAGUCGAAAAUGUUGUCUCUCUUGAGUGGAUCCUGAGUACGACGGAGCACGUGAAAUUCCGUCGGAAUCUGGGAGGACCAUCUCCUAAGGCUAAAUACUCUCUAGUGACCGAUAGUGAACCAGUACCGUGAGGGAAAGGUGAAAAGCACCCCGGAAGGGGAGUGAAAUAGAACCUGAAACCGUGUGCUUACAAGUAGUCAGAGCCCGUUAAUGGGUGAUGGCGUGCCUUUUGUAGAAUGAACCGGCGAGUUACGAUUUGAUGCAAGGUUAAGCAGUAAAUGUGGAGCCGUAGCGAAAGCGAGUCUGAAUAGGGCGUUUAGUAUUUGGUCGUAGACCCGAAACCAGGUGAUCUACCCUUGGUCAGGUUGAAGUUCAGGUAACACUGAAUGGAGGACCGAACCGACUUACGUUGAAAAGUGAGCGGAUGAACUGAGGGUAGCGGAGAAAUUCCAAUCGAACCUGGAGAUAGCUGGUUCUCUCCGAAAUAGCUUUAGGGCUAGCCUCAAGUGAUGAUUAUUGGAGGUAGAGCACUGUUUGGACGAGGGGCCCCUCUCGGGUUACCGAAUUCAGACAAACUCCGAAUGCCAAUUAAUUUAACUUGGGAGUCAGAACAUGGGUGAUAAGGUCCGUGUUCGAAAGGGAAACAGCCCAGACCACCAGCUAAGGUCCCAAAAUAUAUGUUAAGUGGAAAAGGAUGUGGCGUUGCCCAGACAACUAGGAUGUUGGCUUAGAAGCAGCCAUCAUUUAAAGAGUGCGUAAUAGCUCACUAGUCGAGUGACACUGCGCCGAAAAUGUACCGGGGCUAAACAUAUUACCGAAGCUGUGGAUUGUCCUUUGGACAAUGGUAGGAGAGCGUUCUAAGGGCGUUGAAGCAUGAUCGUAAGGACAUGUGGAGCGCUUAGAAGUGAGAAUGCCGGUGUGAGUAGCGAAAGACGGGUGAGAAUCCCGUCCACCGAUUGACUAAGGUUUCCAGAGGAAGGCUCGUCCGCUCUGGGUUAGUCGGGUCCUAAGCUGAGGCCGACAGGCGUAGGCGAUGGAUAACAGGUUGAUAUUCCUGUACCACCUAUAAUCGUUUUAAUCGAUGGGGGGACGCAGUAGGAUAGGCGAAGCGUGCGAUUGGAUUGCACGUCUAAGCAGUAAGGCUGAGUAUUAGGCAAAUCCGGUACUCGUUAAGGCUGAGCUGUGAUGGGGAGAAGACAUUGAGUCUUCGAGUCGUUGAUUUCACACUGCCGAGAAAAGCCUCUAGAUAGAAAAUAGGUGCCCGUACCGCAAACCGACACAGGUAGUCAAGAUGAGAAUUCUAAGGUGAGCGAGCGAACUCUCGUUAAGGAACUCGGCAAAAUGACCCCGUAACUUCGGGAGAAGGGGUGCUCUUUAGGGUUAACGCCCAGAAGAGCCGCAGUGAAUAGGCCCAAGCGACUGUUUAUCAAAAACACAGGUCUCUGCUAAACCGUAAGGUGAUGUAUAGGGGCUGACGCCUGCCCGGUGCUGGAAGGUUAAGAGGAGUGGUUAGCUUCUGCGAAGCUACGAAUCGAAGCCCCAGUAAACGGCGGCCGUAACUAUAACGGUCCUAAGGUAGCGAAAUUCCUUGUCGGGUAA
This 1978-nucleotide ribosomal RNA is filed under the name Staphylococcus aureus M0906. RNAcentral's name for it is "bacterial LSU rRNA". It matches the Rfam family "Bacterial large subunit ribosomal RNA", at positions 3 to 1979 of the family's 2925-position model. The record is from RNAcentral. Lineage: Bacteria; Bacillati; Bacillota; Bacilli; Caryophanales; Staphylococcaceae.